CCUACGGGAGGCAGCAGUGGGGAAUAUUGCACAAUGGGCGCAAGCCUGAUGCAGCCAUGCCGCGUGUGUGAAGAAGGCCUUCGGGUUGUAAAGCACUUUCAGCGGGGAGGAAGGCGUUAAGGUUAAUAACCCUGUCGAUUGACGUUACCCGCAGAAGAAGCACCGGCUAACUCCGUGCCAGCAGCCGCGGUAAUACGGAGGGUGCAAGCGUUAAUCGGAAUUACUGGGCGUAAGGCGCACGCAGGCGGUCUGUCAAGUCGGAUGUGAAAUCCCCGGGCUCAACCUGGGAACUGCAUUCGAAACUGGCAGGCUAGAGUCUUGUAGAGGGGGGUAGAAUUCCAGGUGUAGCGGUGAAAUGCGUAGAGAUCUGGAGGAAUACCGGUGGCGAAGGCGGCCCCCUGGACAAAGACUGACGCUCAGGUGCGAAAGCGUGGGGAGCAAACAGGAUUAGAUACCCUAGUAGUC
RNAcentral lists this ribosomal RNA (465 nucleotides) under uncultured Klebsiella sp. Its description in RNAcentral is "bacterial SSU rRNA". It matches the Rfam family "Bacterial small subunit ribosomal RNA", at positions 338 to 795 of the family's 1533-position model. Lineage: Bacteria; Pseudomonadati; Pseudomonadota; Gammaproteobacteria; Enterobacterales; Enterobacteriaceae. The record is from RNAcentral.